RNAcentral lists this ribosomal RNA (446 nucleotides) under uncultured prokaryote. RNAcentral describes it as "bacterial SSU rRNA". It matches the Rfam family "Bacterial small subunit ribosomal RNA", at positions 355 to 796 of the family's 1533-position model. The record is from RNAcentral.
UCGAGAAUCUUUGUCAAUGGGGGAAACCCUGAACAAGCGAUGCCGCGUGCGGGAUGAAGGCCUUCGGGUUGUAAACCGCUGUCAGUUGGGAGGAAAUGCCAUGGGGUUCUCUCCAUGGUUUGACCGAUCUUCAGAGGAAGGACGGGCUAAGUUCGUGCCAGCAGCCGCGGUAACACGAACCGUCCAAACGUUAUUCGGUAUCACUGGGCUUAAAGCGUGCGUAGGCGGCCUGGAAGGUGAGAGGUGAAAUCCCACGGCUCAACCGUGGAACUGCCUUUCAAACCAUCAGGCUUGAGGAAGAUAGGGGUGAUCGGAACUUAUGGUGGAGCGGUGAAAUGCGUUGAUAUCAUAGGGAACACCGGUGGCGAAAGCGGAUCACUGGAUCUUUUCUGACGCUGAGGCACGAAAGCUAGGGUAGCGAACGGGAUUAGAUACCCCCGUAGUCC